GACGAACGCUGGCGGCGUGCUUAACACAUGCAAGUCGAACGGAAAGGCCCUGCUUUUGUGGGGUGCUCGAGUGGCGAACGGGUGAGUAACACGUGAGUAACCUGCCCUUGACUUUGGGAUAACUUCAGGAAACUGGGGCUAAUACCGGAUAGGAGCUCCUGCUGCAUGGUGGGGGUUGGAAAGUUUCGGCGGUUGGGGAUGGACUCGCGGCUUAUCAGCUUGUUGGUGGGGUAGCGGCUUACCAAGGCUUUGACGGGUGGCCGGCCUGAGAGGGUGACCGGCCACAUUGGGACUGAGAUACGGCCCAGACUCCUACGGGAGGCAGCAGUGGGGAAUAUUGCACAAUGGGCGGAAGCCUGAUGCAGCAACGCCGCGUGCGGGAUGACGGCCUUCGGGUUGUAAACCGCUUUCGCCUGUGACGAAGCGUGAGUGACGGUAAUGGGUAAAGAAGCACCGGCUAACUACGUG
RNAcentral lists this ribosomal RNA (468 nucleotides) under uncultured bacterium. RNAcentral describes it as "partial 16S ribosomal RNA". It matches the Rfam family "Bacterial small subunit ribosomal RNA", at positions 28 to 507 of the family's 1533-position model. The record is from RNAcentral.